RNAcentral lists this ribosomal RNA (253 nucleotides) under uncultured bacterium. RNAcentral's name for it is "partial 16S ribosomal RNA". It matches the Rfam family "Bacterial small subunit ribosomal RNA", at positions 524 to 776 of the family's 1533-position model. The record is from RNAcentral.
UACGAAGGGGGCUAGCGUUGCUCGGAAUCACUGGGCGUAAAGCGCACGUAGGCGGAUUCUUAAGUCAGGGGUGAAAUCCUGGAGCUCAACUCCAGAACUGCCCUUGAUACUGGGGAUCUUGAGUCCGGAAGAGGUGAGUGGAACUCCGAGUGUAGAGGUGAAAUUCGUAGAUAUUCGGAAGAACACCAGUGGCGAAGGCGGCUCACUGGUCCGGUACUGACGCUGAGGUGCGAAAGCGUGGGGAGCAAACAGG